RNAcentral lists this ribosomal RNA (825 nucleotides) under uncultured bacterium. RNAcentral describes it as "bacterial SSU rRNA". It matches the Rfam family "Bacterial small subunit ribosomal RNA", at positions 9 to 873 of the family's 1533-position model. The record is from RNAcentral.
AGAGUUUGAUCAUGGCUCAGGAUGAACGCUGGCGGUCUGCUUAACACAUGCAAGUCGAACGAGGGUCUUCGGACCCGAGUGGCGGACGGGUGAGUAACACGUGAGAAUCUGCCCUUUGGAGGGGGAUAACGACUGGAAACGGUCGCUAAUACCCCAUGUGCCGAGAGGUGAAAUGAGAUUCGCCAAAGGAUGAGCUCGCGACCGAUUAGCUAGUUGGUAGUGUAAGGGACUACCAAGGCUGUGAUCGGUAGCUGGUCUGAGAGGAUGAUCAACCACACUGGGACUGAGACACGGCCCAGACUCCUACGGGAGGCAGCAGUGGGGAAUUUUCCGCAAUGGGCGCAAGCCUGACGGAGCAAGACCGCGUGCGGGACGAAGGUCUGUGGAUUGUAAACCGCUUUUGAUAGGGAAGAAGCAAGUGACGGUACCUAUCGAAUCAGCCUCGGCUAACUCCGUGCCAGCAGCCGCGGUAAUACGGAGGAGGCAAGCGUUAUCCGGAAUUAUUGGGCGUAAAGCGUCCGUAGGUGGUGGUUCAAGUCAGCGGUUAAAGCGUGGGGCUUAACCUCAUAAAGGCCGUUGAAACUGAGCUGCUAGAGUGCGAUAGGGGCAAGGGGAAUUCCCAGUGUAGCGGUGAAAUGCGUAGAUAUUGGGAAGAACACCGGUGGCGAAAGCGCCUUGCUGGGUCUGCACUGACACUGAGGGACGAAAGCUAGGGGAGCGAAAGGGAUUAGAUACCCCUGUAGUCCUAGCUGUAAACGAUGGGUACUAGGCGUUGUCCGUAUCGACCCGGGCAGUGCCGUAGCUAACGCGUUAAGUACCCCGCCU